RNAcentral lists this long non-coding RNA (1114 nucleotides) under Chrysemys picta bellii (western painted turtle). RNAcentral's name for it is "lncRNA (ENSCPBG00000002815.1)". The record is from RNAcentral. Lineage: Eukaryota; Metazoa; Chordata; Testudines; Emydidae.
AUUUGGCUGAACGCCUGUAUGGCUUUGGGACCCAGCCCGGGGGUCAGACAGUGAAGCCUGUCUGCGCGGUCAAUCUGGUUCUCAAAGGCUGUGAGGUGGCAUCAAUAUCCCCCUCCUCCUCGAACUGGGGCAGCAGUUUGGUGUCUAAACUCCCCCCAACACUGGCGUCUCGGGGGCCCUUCCCCACUUACCCCGCGGCAGGCCCUCUUGGCCCGCCUCUCAUCCAUCUCCAACUCGUGCUUCUGCUGUUCUACACGGUCUGCUCGUUCUCUCUCUCUGUCCACCAGCCUCCGAUCCUCCAGCUCCAGCUCCUUCGCUUUCAGCUGCAGCUCCAGUUUCCGCACCUGGACUCACAGAUCGUGCCCAUUCUUGGCCCCAUGCGGUCUGUGGGGGGUACCCCUUUCAGUGCGACCGCUGUUCUCUGGGGUCCACUCUCUCUCAGGGUCUGGCCCCUCCACCUCCUGGAGCCGCACCUCUCUGAGCCUUAGCACGUCUGUCUCUGCCGUGGGCCCCCUCAGGGAGUCCACUCACUCCCUGGUCACUACACAGACUGCCCCCACGGCUACUCCCCAGUUCUCCGGGCACCCCGGGAGCCCCCCUGGGGUCUGGAGCCUGCACCUCAGACGGGUCAUUCUCUACACGCUGAGCAAUCAGCCGCUCCUUAGUGAGCCUCCCCACGCUCAGCCCCCUCUCCCUGCAGAGACGGGCCAGGUCGCUCUUACGGAGCUGGUUCUAGGCCAUGUCCAGGCUGGUUCCGUUCAAUAUCCUCGUUCUAUCGCUGGCAGCCACUCACUGCAAAGCGCCUGUGCCCACAGCCAAUGUCUGCAGGGUGCAUCCACGACUAUCCCACUUCUGACACCACAUUGUCACGGACUCACAGGUCGUGCCCUGGUGGGCUCUGCCUGCUCUCCCUCUCCAGCUCCGAACCCACUGCUUCCCAGCUGGGCAUCUGACAUCACCGGCCCCAAGCCCCUCCUCUGUCCAUUGUCUUCUCUCCAGGUAAACAGGGUCAUAAACCGGGGCCUCCUCUCCUCGCUUCUGUCCUCUGGCCCCCCUGGCUGGAACCAGCUGGUCAUAGAAUCAUAGAAUCAUAGAAUAUCAGGGUUGGAAGGGA